This 468-nucleotide ribosomal RNA is filed under the name uncultured bacterium. Its description in RNAcentral is "partial 16S ribosomal RNA". It matches the Rfam family "Bacterial small subunit ribosomal RNA", at positions 28 to 507 of the family's 1533-position model. The record is from RNAcentral.
GACGAACGCUGGCGGCGUGCUUAACACAUGCAAGUCGAACGGAAAGGCCCUGCUUUUGUGGGGUGCUCGAGUGGCGAACGGGUGAGUAACACGGGAGUAACCUGCCCUUGACUUUGGGAUAACUUCAGGAAACUGGGGCUAAUACCGGAUAGGAGCUCCUGCUGCAUGGUGGGGGUUGGAAAGUUUCGGCGGUUGGGGAUGGACUCGCGGCUUAUCAGCUUGUUGGUGGGGUAGUGGCUUACCAAGGCUUUGACGGGUAGCCGGCCUGAGAGGGUGACCGGCCACAUUGGGACUGGGAUCCGGCCCAGACUCCUACGGGAGGCAGCAGUGGGGAAUAUUGCACAAUGGGCGGAAGCCUGAUGCAGCAACGCCGCGUGCGGGAUGACGGCCUUCGGGUUGUAACCCGCUUUCGCCUGUGACGAAGCGUGAGUGACGGUAAUGGGUAAAGAAGCACCGGCUAACUACGUG